CGUGAGCAACCUACCUCAGAGUGGGGGACAACAGUUGGAAACGACUGCUAAUACCGCAUAAGAUGGCAGGGUCGCAUGGCCUGGUCAUAAAAGGAGCAAUUCGCUCUGAGAUGGGCUCGCGUCUGAUUAGCUAGUUGGUGAGGUAACGGCCCACCAAGGCAACGACCAGUAGCCGGACUGAGAGGUUGAACGGCCACAUUGGGACUGAGACACGGCCCAG
This 220-nucleotide ribosomal RNA is filed under the name uncultured bacterium. RNAcentral's name for it is "partial 16S ribosomal RNA". It matches the Rfam family "Bacterial small subunit ribosomal RNA", at positions 116 to 334 of the family's 1533-position model. The record is from RNAcentral.